UCCAGACUCCUACGGGAGGCAGCAGUGGGGGAUAUUGCACAAUGGGGGGAACCCUGAUGCAGCGACGCCGCGUGGGUGAAGGAGCGUUUCGGCGCGUAAAGCCCUAUCGGCAGGGAAGAAGGAGGACGGUACCUGACUAAGAAGCCCCGGCUAACUACGUGCCAGCAGCCGCGGUAAUACGUAGGGGGCAAGCGUUAUCCGGAUUUACUGGGUGUAAAGGGGGCGCAGACGGCAGCGCAAGCCAGGAGUGAAAGCCCGGGGCCCAACCCCGGGACUGCUCUUGGAACUGCGCGGCUGGAGUGCAGGAGGGGCAGGCGGAAUUCCUGGUGUAGCGGUGAAAUGCGUAGAUAUCAAGAGGAACACCGGUGGCGAAGGCGGCCUGCUGGACUGCGACUGACGUUGAGGCCCGAAAGCGUGGGGAGCAAACAGGAUUAGAUACCCUGGUA
Molecule: ribosomal RNA, 446 nt
Filed under: uncultured bacterium
Lineage: Bacteria
Description: partial 16S ribosomal RNA
Rfam family: Bacterial small subunit ribosomal RNA
Source: RNAcentral